UGGGGAAUAUUGCACAAUGGGCGCAAGCCUGAUGCAGCCAUGCCGCGUGUGUGAAGAAGGCCUUCGGGUUGUAAAGCACUUUCAGCGAGGAGGAAGGUGGUGAACUUAAUACGUUCAUCAAUUGACGUUACUCGCAGAAGAAGCACCGGCUAACUCCGUGCCAGCAGCCGCGGUAAUACGGAGGGUGCAAGCGUUAAUCGGAAUUACUGGGCGUAAAGCGCACGCAGGCGGUUUGUUAAGUCAGAUGUGAAAUCCCCGGGCUCAACCUGGGAACUGCAUUUGAAACUGGCAAGCUAGAGUCUCGUAGAGGGGGGUAGAAUUCCAGGUGUAGCGGUGAAAUGCGUAGAGAUCUGGAGGAAUACCGGUGGCGAAGGCGGCCCCCUGGACGAAGACUGACGCUCAGGUGCGAAAGCGUGGGGCAGCAAACAGGAUUAGAUACCCUGGUAGUCCACGCUGUAAACGAUGUCGAUUUUGGAGGUUGUGCCCUUGAGGCGUGGCUUCCGGAGCUAACGCGUUAAAUCGACCGCCUGGGGAGUACGG
RNAcentral lists this ribosomal RNA (540 nucleotides) under uncultured bacterium. RNAcentral describes it as "partial 16S ribosomal RNA". It matches the Rfam family "Bacterial small subunit ribosomal RNA", at positions 355 to 885 of the family's 1533-position model. The record is from RNAcentral.